UACGUAGGGUGCAAGCGUUGUCCGGAAUUAUUGGGCGUAAAGAGCUCGUAGGCGGUUCGUCGCGUCGGCUGUGAAAACCCGGAGCUCAACUCCGGGCCUGCAGUCGAUACGGGCGGACUAGAGUUCGGCAGGGGAGACUGGAAUUCCUGGUGUAGCGGUGAAAUGCGCAGAUAUCAGGAGGAACACCGGUGGCGAAGGCGGGUCUCUGGGCCGAUACUGACGCUGAGGAGCAAAAGCGUGGGGAGCGAACAGG
This 253-nucleotide ribosomal RNA is filed under the name uncultured bacterium. RNAcentral describes it as "partial 16S ribosomal RNA". It matches the Rfam family "Bacterial small subunit ribosomal RNA", at positions 524 to 776 of the family's 1533-position model. The record is from RNAcentral.